UACGUAGGGUGCAAGCGUUGUUCGGAAUUACUGGGCGUAAAGAGUGUGUAGGCGGCGCUCUAAGUUCGGUGUGAAAUCUCUCGGCUUAACUGGGAGGGUGCGCCGGAAACUGGAGUGCUCGAACGUGGGAGAGGAAAGCGGAAUUCCUGGUGUAGCGGUGAAAUGCGUAGAUAUCAGGAGGAACACCUGCGGUGUAGACGGCUUUCUGGACCAUUGUUGACGCUGAGACACGAAAGCGUGGGUAGCAAACAGG
RNAcentral lists this ribosomal RNA (253 nucleotides) under uncultured bacterium. Its description in RNAcentral is "partial 16S ribosomal RNA". It matches the Rfam family "Bacterial small subunit ribosomal RNA", at positions 524 to 776 of the family's 1533-position model. The record is from RNAcentral.